Micropterus salmoides (largemouth bass) is the source of this 1719-nucleotide long non-coding RNA. RefSeq lists it as uncharacterized. The transcript is spliced from 3 exons. The record is from RefSeq and is a predicted model, not a curated record. NCBI's taxonomy places the organism in Eukaryota, Metazoa, Chordata, Actinopteri, Centrarchiformes, Centrarchidae.
GACGUACAGCACACUGAGGAUUGUUCAUCUGAGAUGUAUUUAUAUUUUACAUGAUGUCCGCCCCUCUGUUCAGCACGCCAGGGAUCUAUUCUGCUCUGAUGGAGAGCAGGUGAGCGUGCACCCACAGGAGCAGACGCCUGGCCAGACCCAACAGUUUAUGUAGGCUGCGGCGGCCCUGUAGUCGGUGCGGACCAGCACGUGCUGGCGGGCCGAGGAGGAAAUAUUAACAAUAUUAACAACACUGUGUGCCUAUCAAGUGACUAAUUAUGCUUGUUGUCAGAAUUUGCAUUAGAAACAACGUUUGUAUUGCUUCUACGGUGCAUAGAAAGGUUACACAAGGUUACCACAAGCUCAAAUUAUGGCUGUCAGUACUUAUUUGUGUUAUAUUGUAGAGCACCAUUGAUCCUCACCUGACUAUGGCUUUGUAAACUUACCCAUGAUGUGUGAUGAUUUAUAAUGGACUGUGGUACAGAAACAUUGACAAUGUUACUCUUGGCUUACGUUUUCCAUGUUGUCUGUCAGUGAUCAUACUUGCACUAGAUGUGAUUUUUUUGUUUUUGGGAUGUUCAAUUUAUUAGGCCAGAUGAGACCCUACCAAGAUGUAACACAUUGUGUAUUACAGUACAGUAAUAUAUUACAUUCAUGUAGCACUUCAUUUAUUGAGGCUGCUGCUGUUCCCCCAGCUAUGAGACAGGUCCUGCAACAUCGACUCCCUUGAAGAGAAAACCUUUGCAAGUCCCAGCUCCAGCAUUGUCUAGCAUUGGUGCUUCUAAUGCGGGGUUCGGCAACCUUUAACACCAAAAGAGCCAUUUGAACUUGGUUUCCACGGAAAAGAAAACACCAGGAGCCGCAAAUACUUUUUGACAUCUAAAAUGAAAAAAAACCGCAUUUAUUUAAAAAAACAACAACAACAACAACAACUUCCCUUUCAUGCUACUGGGUUCACCCCAGCCAUACACUUAUUAGUGCUUUGAACAUUUUGAAUUCUUGAAAAAAUAAUAACAAUUUCUGAAUGUCUCUUUCAAAUAAAUUAAAAAGCUGAACUUAAAAUAUCCAUGUAGCAAACAAAAGCAAAAAAUGCCGUGAGCUGUCAUCCUUAUAGUAUCGCCUUUGGGCUUUCAGAGCAUGUAGCAGAGCCUUGACCUGAAUUUAAAAAAUAAAUUGAGAAAUAAAGCACUGUGUCACUAAACAAUUAAAAAAUAAAUGUUUGCAAAAUAUCUGCAUAAAUAUUUAUUUUACCUGGUUAAUGGGACUUCUGCUCCUGAACCUCUGCGCACAGCGUCUGCAAAUCGAGGCUGUACGAAGUCACUUUCAUCUUUACGCAGGACUGUAAGCUGUCAUCUGUGAGGCGUGAGUGGUGUUUGUUUUUAAUGUAGUUCAUGGUAGAGAAUAGCUGCUCACAUACAUAUGUGGAUCCGAAGAUGGACAGAACUCCAAAGGCGAAAAAAGAACUAACACAAAUAAAAUACACUUCAAUUAAAUACUUAGUUUUUUUUCUUUUUAGUAAUUUAUUUUCCCAAGCCACUCGGAGCCGCAGUAUAAGGAUGAAAGUGCAGCAUGCGGCUCCGGAGCCGCGGGUUGCCGACCCCUGUUCUAGUGGAACAGACCGAGAUGAGCAUCUUGAUGUCAUUCCAGAAGCCACAGAAAUUCAGGGCCUUGAACAAAGCUUACAUGACAUGAGCAUUGUUGAGGAGGACUUGGAGGAAAAUGUUUUCAAUG